AUGGUUCAGGUGCGCGGCUGCGUGAGCGCGGCGAUUCGGUUUGAUUUUUCCACGGGGGAACGGUGGAAUUUUCUGGUGUUUUCUAAGCAACUGGUGGGCGGCCGUGGGCACGGCUUUGGAUAUUUUUGGCAUUCCAGCGUUUUCCCCGUGCUGCUACACUGGUCGCUGCCAUUUCUGAUAUUUUUGGCGCCUAGCAACCGUGUGGGAUCUACGAAGUCAGGGUUUACGGGGACGAAUUUUACGUGUUGGGUUUCAUUGGAAAAAAUAAUUCACGGAAGUAGGGGAGCAGAAUCCUGUCGAAACACGUCCAUUCUGGGGUUGCUAUUUUGUUGCUGCGGAUGUUGUGAAGCAACUCGAGCUGGUAGCAUGACUUGUUCUAAUUUUGCAGUUUUGAAUUGGAGGAUUUCCUGUAGCGAGCCUUUGGUGACUGUUAUCCCCGAGUUUUCAGGUGGAAAUGGCUUGUAG
Molecule: ribosomal RNA, 465 nt
Filed under: Triticum aestivum (bread wheat)
Lineage: Eukaryota; Viridiplantae; Streptophyta; Magnoliopsida; Poales; Poaceae
Description: partial small subunit ribosomal RNA
Source: RNAcentral